UGCGUAGGUGGCCGGGUAAGUCCGACGUGAAAUCUCCGAGCCUAACUCGGAAACUGCAUCGGAUACUAUUCGGCUGGAGGGUUGGAGGGGGGGACGUGGAAUACUUGGUGUAGCAGUGAAAUGCGUAGAUAUCAAGUGGAACACCAGUGGCGAAGGCGAGUCCCUGGACAACUCCUGACACUGAGGCACGAAAGCUAGGGGAGCAAACA
This 209-nucleotide ribosomal RNA is filed under the name uncultured bacterium. Its description in RNAcentral is "partial 16S ribosomal RNA". It matches the Rfam family "Bacterial small subunit ribosomal RNA", at positions 568 to 774 of the family's 1533-position model. The record is from RNAcentral.